This 270-nucleotide long non-coding RNA is filed under the name Elaeis guineensis (African oil palm). RNAcentral's name for it is "long non-coding RNA (EGUI_LNC057030)". The record is from RNAcentral. Lineage: Eukaryota; Viridiplantae; Streptophyta; Magnoliopsida; Arecales; Arecaceae.
CAUAAAGUAAUGGAUUGAAAAUUUAAGAUCAAUAUUUAUUUUUUUAAUUCAAAUUAAAUAAACACAUGAAAGCUCAACUUAAGAAAAUCAUAAAACAUUUGAUUAAGAGUUUAAAAUCAAAUUUAAUUUUUCUUAACUCAAAUUAAUUAGUAUUUUUAGUCAAAUUAAAGGCAUAUGAAGGCUCAAAUCAAAAAUUUAAGAUCAAAUUUGAUUUUCUUAAUAUAAAUUAAUUUAAAUUUUUGAUCAAAAUCAAGAUAAUAUUUAGCAAAC